Molecule: ribosomal RNA, 774 nt
Filed under: uncultured Neocallimastigales
Lineage: Eukaryota; Fungi; Neocallimastigomycota; Neocallimastigomycetes; Neocallimastigales
Description: partial large subunit ribosomal RNA
Rfam family: Eukaryotic large subunit ribosomal RNA
Source: RNAcentral
UACUAGAGUAGCACUCGCAUAUCAAUAAGCGGAGGAAAAGAAACUAACAAGGAUUCCCCUAGUAACGGCGAGUGAAGCGGGAAGAGCUCAAAUUUGAAAUCUUAAAGGGUUUCCCUUUACGAAUUGUAGUUUAAAGAAGUGUUUUCUGUUGAGGUUUUGGUAAAAGUUCUUUGGAAUAGGACAUCAUAGAGGGUGAGAAUCCCGUAUUUGACCUUUACUUUCAACUUUGUGAUACACUUUCAAAGAGUCGGAUUGUUUGGGAAUGCAGUCCAAAAUGGGUGGUAAAUUUCAUCUAAAGCUAAAUAUUGGCGAGAGACCGAUAGCGAACAAGUACCGUGAGGGAAAGAUGAAAAGAACUUUGAAAAGAGAGUUAAACAGUACGUGAAAUUGUCAAAAGGGAAGCGUUUGACACCAGUGUUGUUUUUCUGAAAAUCAAUUAAAGAACUGUUUAUGCUAAGUUGUUUAGACUUUAUCAGCUAACUGUUUAGUUUUGAGCUUUUCUUUAAUGCACUUUUCAGUUAACAAGUCAACAUCAAUUUCUUUUGCUGUAAAAAAGCUUGAGGAAGGUGGCUUGAGAUUCGUCUUAAGUGUUUAUAGCCUCUUGCCUAUGCAGUCGGAGAGAUUGAGGUCUGCAGCGUAGAUCCUUCGGGGCUAAAUGCAUUUGUGCUAAGUUAUAACAUUUUAUAGACAACUUGUUGACUAUGAUUUGUCUUGUAGCUUACUCGCUUAUGUUAUUUUACCUACGCUUAGGAUGUUGAGUAGCGACAUACGCAC